AGAGUUUGAUCAUGGCUCAGAAUCAACGCUGGCGGCGUGCUAACACAUGCAAGUCGAACGAGAAAGGGAGCAAUCCAUGAGUAAAGUGGCGCACGGGUGAGUAACACUGACUAACCUACCCUGGAGUGGGGGAUAACUGAGGGAAACCUUAGCUAAUACCGCAUAAUACCUACGGGUCAAAGGAGCAAUUCGCUUCAGGAGGGGGUCGCGGCCGAUUAGUUAGUUGGCGGGGUAAUGGCCCACCAAGACAGUGAUCGGUAUCCGGCCUGAGAGGGCGCACGGACACACUGGAACUGAAACACGGUCCAGACUCCUACGGGAGGCAGCAGUGGGGAAUUUUGCGCAAUGGGGGAAACCCUGACGCAGCAACGCCGCGUGGAGGAUGAAGUCCUUCGGGACGUAAACUCCUUUCGAUCGGGACGAUUAUGACGGUACCGGAAGAAGAAGCCCCGGCUAACUUCGUGCCAGCAGCCGCGGUAAUACGAGGGGGGCGAGCGUUGUUCGGAAUUAUUGGGCGUAAAGGGUGCGUAGGCGGUUUUGUAAGUCUUAUGUGAAAUCUAUGGGCUCAACUCAUAGACUGCAUGAGAAACUGCAGGGCUUGAGUAUGGGAGAGGUGAGUGGAAUUCCUGGUGUAGCGGUGAAAUGCGUAGAUAUCAGGAGGAACACCUGUGGCGAAAGCGGCUCACUGGACCAUAACUGACGCUGAUGCACGAAAGCUAGGGGAGCAAACAGGAUUAGAUACCCCAGUAGUCC
RNAcentral lists this ribosomal RNA (753 nucleotides) under uncultured bacterium. RNAcentral describes it as "bacterial SSU rRNA". It matches the Rfam family "Bacterial small subunit ribosomal RNA", at positions 8 to 796 of the family's 1533-position model. The record is from RNAcentral.